Molecule: ribosomal RNA, 542 nt
Filed under: Kudoa konishiae
Lineage: Eukaryota; Metazoa; Cnidaria; Myxozoa; Multivalvulida; Kudoidae
Description: partial small subunit ribosomal RNA
Source: RNAcentral
CUUUAAUGGAGUGUGUUGGGCUUAUUUUAGCCCACACACCUUAGGCUUUUAGACAAAGGUAGCGCCAUUAAAGUGAGUUUUGUUUCAAUGUUGUGCCAGCUUAUGCGGUAACACAGAUGAAACUUUCUCACUUUUGGAGGAGAACAAAGGAACUCCUUUUCCUAGGUUCUUUUAGGGAAAUCAAGUAGUUUAUGGUGUACCGGGAACAAGAGAAACUUGCCUCCUGUGAAGAAUAAACUUCCUAGACUUUGGACAUUAGGCUUAUCCGGUUCCCUGGUGUUCCGAUAAACCGUUAAAUCUUGCUUCCUUUUCUACAGGCUGCAUGGCCCACUUUUUCCUCAAGUUUCUUGAGGAAGUUUGGUGACAUGGCAUGUUGGAAGAUUUUACCAUGGGUUGAAAUAUAGGGUGAAACCCUUAUAAUUCAGAACUGGAGAGUAAUCUCGGUUUUAAUGGGACCAAGGUGAACAGUCUUCUAUAGGGACUCAUUGCUCGUCACCUGGGGUGAAAAUCCUGGCAAGUCGAAACACGAUAGGGGAUGGUGA